This is a long non-coding RNA of Numida meleagris (helmeted guineafowl), 548 nucleotides long. RefSeq lists it as uncharacterized. The transcript has 5 exons. NCBI's taxonomy places the organism in Eukaryota, Metazoa, Chordata, Aves, Galliformes, Numididae. The record is from RefSeq and is a predicted model, not a curated record.
GAAAUCCAGAGGAGAGGGAAAAGUGUUGUGUUUUUGAAGAACAGUUGAACAGGCCAGACAUCUUCAGCCUGUGAGGUGGCUGAGGAGAGACAUAGCAGAAGUCUAUAAAAUCAUGAGUGGAAAAAAUGAAUUGGUUGCUGCUCUUUCACCUGUUCCAGAAAAAGCACUUUCAGAAGAAACCAAAGGUGAAAACGUCGUGUCACCUGGGCAAAGGAACUAAAGUGAAAGAGCGAUCUCAGCUCCAGGAGUUCACGUUCAAGAGCUGAAACAGAGCCAGCACCUGAUUAAGGCAGAUUCGGUCAGGUCAGGGAGAUGAGCUUGCCCAGGGACUUUCCACUGCUGCUGAAGGAGCUCAAGGUUUAAAACUCUUGUCUGCCCCACAAAAACAUGAAGGACAGGAAUGUGAUUGCCACACAUGAGAUUCCUCUGUCUGGUUGGUAUUGGCAGCUGGAUUAUCAAGAUGUCUUGAGAAAGUACUUCUGCAAGUAUUUUUCAUGUAAUCAAAGCCGUUAGCACUGAAAUAUCUUCCUCAGAAAGGAUUCUCCUGU